AGAGCGAGAGACGGCAGUGGAUCCAUAAUUCUAGGUUUAGGUUCAGAAUGGUGUUCGACUUCACCUUCAAGCACAAAACUGUCUUCUUCGCCACGUGCGGUGGUGAUAAAGGAUUGCACGAAAUCGAUGCCAAAGAACCCUAGAAGGUAGAUGAACGAGGCAAUGAGGGAGACGAUGGCGGCCAGCUCCGAGAGCGUCACGACAUGGAGCGGCGUAGACGACCGGAUCUUGUCACGCCAACGGUGAAGAAGGUAGUAGGCAACAGAGAAGAACAAAGUGAAGAAAAUGCCAUUUGUUAGGUAAAGAGGAAGCGGUAAUGCAUCCGACGCUUUAGGAACUGGCGACGGUGAGCGAUCAAUAACACCGGCCUUCGUGGAGGAAGGUGACCGAUCUUCACCG
This 399-nucleotide long non-coding RNA is filed under the name Lactuca sativa (garden lettuce). Its description in RNAcentral is "long non-coding RNA (LSAT_LNC009324)". The record is from RNAcentral. Lineage: Eukaryota; Viridiplantae; Streptophyta; Magnoliopsida; Asterales; Asteraceae.